RNAcentral lists this ribosomal RNA (38 nucleotides) under Buckia vaucheri. RNAcentral describes it as "partial 25S ribosomal RNA". The record is from RNAcentral. Lineage: Eukaryota; Viridiplantae; Streptophyta; Bryopsida; Hypnales; Pylaisiaceae.
CAGACCUCUAAUCGGAAAAGACUACCCGCUGAGUUNAA